UAAACACGGUGGGGUAACCCUGCCUGUUAAGACUGGGGAUAAACUCCGGGAAACCGGAGCUUAAUACCGGAUAGUUCCUUGAACCGCAUGGUUCAAGGGAUGAAAGACGGUUUCGGCUGUCACUUACAGAUGGACCCGCGGCGCAUUAGCUAGUUGGUGAGGUAACGGCUCACCAAGGCGACGAUGCGUAGCCGACCUGAGAGGGUGAUCGGCCACACUGGGACUGAGACACGGCCCAGACUCCUACGGUAGGCAGCAGUAGGGAAUCUUCCGCAAUGGACGAAAGUCUGACGGAGCAACGCCGCGUGAGUGAUGAAGGUUUUCGGAUCGUAAAGCUCUGUUGUUAGGGAAGAACAAGUGCAAGAGUAACUGCUUGCACCUUGACGGUACCUAACCAGAAAGCCACGGCUAACUACGUGCCAGCAGCCGCGGUAAUACGUAGGUGGCAAGCGUUGUCCGGAAUUAUUGGGCGUAAAGGGCUCGCAGGCGGUUUCUUAAGUCUGAUGUGAAAGCCCCCGGCUCAACCGGGGAGGGUCAUUGGAAACUGGGAAACUUGAGUGCAGAAGAGGAGAGUGGAAUUCCACGUGUAGCGGUGAAAUGCGUAGAGAUGUGGAGGAACACCAGUGGCGAAGGCGACUCUCUGGUCUGUAACUGACGCUGAGGAGCGAAAGCGUGGGGAGCGAACAGGAUUAGAUACCCUGGUAGUCCACGCCGUAAACGAUGAGUGCUAAGUGUUAGGGGGUUUCCGCCCCUUAGUGCUGCAGCUAACGCAUUAAGCACUCCGCCUGGGGAGUACGGUCGCAAGACUGAAACUCAAAGGAAUUGACGGGGGCCCGCACAAGCGGUGGAGCAUGUGGUUUAAUUCGAAGCAACGCGAAGAACCUUACCAGGUCUUGACAUCCUCUGACAACCCUAGAGAUAGGGCUUUCCCUUCGGGGACAGAGUGACAGGUGGUGCAUGGUUGUCGUCAGCUCGUGUCGUGAGAUGUUGGGUUAAGUCCCGCAACGAGCGCAACCCUUGAUCUUAGUUGCCAGCAUUCAGUUGGGCACUCUAAGGUGACUGCCGGUGACAAACCGGAGGAAGGUGGGGAUGACGUCAAAUCAUCAUGCCCCUUAUGACCUGGGCUACACACGUGCUACAAUGGACAGAACAAAAGGGCUGCGAGACCGCAAGGUUUAGCCAAUCCCACAAAUCUGUUCUCAGUUCGGAUCGCAGUCUGCAACUCGACUGCGUGAAGCUGG
This 1241-nucleotide ribosomal RNA is filed under the name Bacillus aerius. RNAcentral's name for it is "bacterial SSU rRNA". It matches the Rfam family "Bacterial small subunit ribosomal RNA", at positions 110 to 1329 of the family's 1533-position model. Lineage: Bacteria; Bacillati; Bacillota; Bacilli; Caryophanales; Bacillaceae. The record is from RNAcentral.